This 91-nucleotide transfer RNA is filed under the name Candidatus Limimonas coprohippi. RNAcentral's name for it is "tRNA-Ser". Lineage: Bacteria; Bacillati; Bacillota; Clostridia; Eubacteriales; Acutalibacteraceae. The record is from RNAcentral.
GGAGAAGUACCCAAGAGGCCGAAGGGGCUCCCCUGCUAAGGGAGUAGGUGCGGUAACGUACGCGGGUGUUCAGAUCACCUCUUCUCCGCCA